RNAcentral lists this ribosomal RNA (745 nucleotides) under Stenotrophomonas maltophilia. Its description in RNAcentral is "bacterial SSU rRNA". It matches the Rfam family "Bacterial small subunit ribosomal RNA", at positions 53 to 787 of the family's 1533-position model. The record is from RNAcentral. Lineage: Bacteria; Pseudomonadati; Pseudomonadota; Gammaproteobacteria; Lysobacterales; Lysobacteraceae.
CCAUGCAAGUCGAACGGCAGCACAGGACAGCUUGCUCUCUGGGUGGCGAGUGGCGGACGGGUGAGGAAUACAUCGGAAUCUACUCUGUCGUGGGGGAUAACGUAGGGAAACUUACGCUAAUACCGCACACCACCUACGGGUGAAAGCAGGGGACCUUCGGGCCUUGCGCGAUUGAAUGAGCCGAUGUCGGAUUAUCUAGUUGGCGGGGUAAAGGCCCACCAAGGCGACGAUCCGUACCUGGUCUGAGAGGAUGAUCAGCCACACUGGAACUGAGACACGGUCCAGACUCCUACGGGAGGCAGCAAUGGGGAAUAUUGGACAAUGGGCGCAAGCCUGAUCCAGCCAUACCGCGUGGGUGAAGAAGGCCUUCGGGUUGUAAAGCCCUUUUGUUGAGAAAGAAAUCCAGCUGGCUAAUACCCGGUUGGGAUGACGGUACCCAAAGAAUAAGCACCGGCUAACUUCGUGCCAGCAGCCGCGGUAAUACGAAGGGUGCAAGCGUUACUCGGAAUUACUGGGCGUAAAGCGUGCGUACGUGGUUAUUUAAGUCCGUUGUGAAAGCCCUGGGCUCAACCUGGGAACUGCAGUGGAUACUGGAUGACUAGAAUGUGGUAGAGGGUAGCGGAAUUCCUGGUGUAGCAGUGAAAUGCGUAGAGAUCAAGAGGAACAUCCAUGGCGAAGGCAGCUACCUGGACCAACAUUGACACUGAGGCACGAAAGCGUGGGGAGCAAACAGGAUUAGUUACCU